RNAcentral lists this ribosomal RNA (152 nucleotides) under Saccharina sessilis. Its description in RNAcentral is "partial 5.8S ribosomal RNA". It matches the Rfam family "5.8S ribosomal RNA". Rfam says of the family: 5.8S ribosomal RNA (5.8S rRNA) is a component of the large subunit of the eukaryotic ribosome. It is transcribed by RNA polymerase I as part of the 45S precursor that also contains 18S and 28S rRNA. Functionally, it is thought that 5.8S rRNA may be involved in ribosome translocation. Lineage: Eukaryota; Phaeophyceae; Laminariales; Laminariaceae. The record is from RNAcentral.
CAGCGACGGAUGUCUUGGCUCCCACAACGAUGAAGAACGCAGCGAAAUGCGAUACGUCUUGCGACUUGCAGAAUCCAGUGAAUCAUCAAAACUUUGAACGCACCUUGCGCUUCCGGGAUACUCCUGGGAGCAUGCUUGUCGGAGUGUCUGUU